This 253-nucleotide ribosomal RNA is filed under the name uncultured bacterium. Its description in RNAcentral is "partial 16S ribosomal RNA". It matches the Rfam family "Bacterial small subunit ribosomal RNA", at positions 524 to 776 of the family's 1533-position model. The record is from RNAcentral.
UACGAAGGGUGCAAGCGUUAAUCGGAAUUACUGGGCGUAAAGCGCACGUAGGCGGCUUUCUAAGUCGGGGGUGAAAUCCUGGAGCUCAACUCCAGAACUGCCUUCGAUACUGGAGAGCUCGAGUCCGGGAGAGGUGAGUGGAACUGCGAGUGUAGAGGUGAAAUUCGUAGAUAUUCGCAGGAACACCAGUGGCGAAGGCGACUCGCUGGUCUUUUGCUGACGCUGAGACGCGAAAGCGUGGGGAGCAAACAGG